UCUUCCGUAGUAUAGUGGUCAGUAUGUGAGCUUGUCACUGAUUUCCCUCGGAUUUCUGGCAAUCGCUCGAGACCCGGGUUCAAUUCCCGGCGGGAGAG
Canariomyces notabilis is the source of this 98-nucleotide non-coding RNA. The record is from the annotation of a RefSeq genome assembly. Lineage: Eukaryota; Fungi; Ascomycota; Sordariomycetes; Sordariales; Chaetomiaceae.